GGGCUCACACAAGCGGAGGAGCAUGUUGUUCAAUUCGAAGCAACGCGAAGAACCUUACCUGGGUUUGACAUGCAUGAAGUAGGAUUCUGAAAGGAUGACGACCGGUAUCCAGUCCGGAACAUGCACAGGUGCUGCAUGGCUGUCGUCAGCUCGUGUCGUGAGACGUUAGGUUAAGUCCUGUAACGAGCGAAACCCCUGUCGUCUGUUGCCACCGGGUAAUGCCGAGCACUCUGACGAGACUGCCGAUGUUAAAUCGGAGGAAGGUGGGGACGACGUCAAGUCAUCAUGGUCCUUACGCCCAGGGCUACAAACGUGCUACAAUGGACGGUACAGAGAGUCGCGAAACCGCGAGGUGGAGCAAAUCUUCAAAACCGUCCCCAGUUCGGAUUGGAGGCUGCAAUUCGCCUCCAUGAAGUUGGAUUCGCUAGUAAUCGCGGAUCAGCUACGCCG
Molecule: ribosomal RNA, 450 nt
Filed under: uncultured Thermotogae bacterium
Lineage: Bacteria; Thermotogati; Thermotogota; Thermotogae
Description: bacterial SSU rRNA
Rfam family: Bacterial small subunit ribosomal RNA
Source: RNAcentral